GACGACGCUGGCGGCGUGCUUAACACAUGCAAGUCGAACGGGAGUAUUGAAGAAGCUUGCUUUAGAGAUACUUUAGUGGCGGACGGGUGAGUAACGCGUGAGGAGCUGUCCAAUGCAGGGGGACAACAGUUGGAAACGACUGCUAAUACCCCAUAAGCCGAGAGGUAAAAGGAUUUAUCCGGCAAUGGAGGUACUCGCGUCCUAUCAGCUAGUAGGUGAGGUAACGGCUCACCUAGGCGAAGACGGGUAGCCGGCCUGAGAGGGCGAACGGCCACACUGGAACUGAGAUACGGUCCAGACUCCUACGGGAGGCAGCAGUGGGGAAUAUUGGGCAAUGGGGGGAACCCUGACCCAGCGACGCCGCGUGGGUGAAGAAAUCCUUCGGGAUGUAAAGCCCUGUUGUAUGGGAAGAGCGGAAGACGGUACCAUACGAGGAAGCCCCGGCAAACUACGUGG
This 456-nucleotide ribosomal RNA is filed under the name uncultured bacterium. Its description in RNAcentral is "bacterial SSU rRNA". It matches the Rfam family "Bacterial small subunit ribosomal RNA", at positions 33 to 508 of the family's 1533-position model. The record is from RNAcentral.